CCUACGGGAGGCAGCAGUGAGGAAUAUUGGUCAAUGGGCGCGAGCCUGAACCAGCCAAGUAGCGUGAAGGAUGACUGCCCUACGGGUUGUAAACUUCUUUUAUAAAGGAAUAAAGUGAGGCACGUGUGCCUUUUUGUAUGUAUUUUAUGAAUAAGCAUCGGCUAACUCCGUGCCAGCAGCCGCGGUAAUACGGAGGAUCCGAGCGUUAUCCGGAUUUAUUGGGUUUAAAGGGAGCGUAAAUGGGUUGUUAAGUCAGGUGUGGAAGUUUGCGGGUCAACCGUAAAAUUGCAAUUGAUACUGGCAGCCUUGAGUGCAGUUGAGGUAGGCGGAAUUCGUGGUGUAGCGGUGAAAUGCAUAGAUAUCACGAAGAACUCCGAUUGCGAAGGCAGCCUACUAGACUGCCACUGACAUUGAUGCUCGAAAGUGUGGGUAUCAAACAGGAUUAGAUACCCCGGUAGUC
This 460-nucleotide ribosomal RNA is filed under the name uncultured bacterium. RNAcentral describes it as "partial 16S ribosomal RNA". It matches the Rfam family "Bacterial small subunit ribosomal RNA", at positions 338 to 795 of the family's 1533-position model. The record is from RNAcentral.